CACAAUCAACAGAAAAAAUCAAAAAAUUGUAGAGUAAAAAACCAAAAAUAUACAAAGAAAAAUGAAGUAUUGCUCUGAGAAAAGAUGUAAUUGGAUUUUUUGGUUAUUUGUAGGGCAUCAGGAGUGACGGUAGAAAUCUGAGCGAGAUAAACGGAAGAGCGAAAGGGAAGAUCGACGACUUGAACGGUGGAGGCUUACGGCAAGGACUGGAGCUUAAGGCAGUUAGGGUUUGGGAAGAAGAAGAGAGGUUCGUUUGGUAGAGAGAGAAUGAGAAAGAGAGCAAUGAAGAGAGAGAAAGAACAAGGGGUUUAAAUCGGUAGGGUUUUAAGGAGAAUAGGUGUUAAAACGACACUGUUUCGGAGGAUUCAAAAAGCUCUUCAAUAGUGCUUGAAACGGUGUUGUUCGUAGCUGAAAGUGCAGGCUUGAAGCUGUCUACUAGAGAGAGAAUGAGAAAGAGAGAAAUAAAGAAAAAGAGGCUUCAAUGGUACGAUUUUAAGGAGGAUAGGUGCUAAAACGGCACUGUUUCGGAGGAUUCAGAAAGCUCUUCAAUAGUGCUUGAAACAGCGCUGUUUGUAGCUGAAAGUGCAGGCUUGAGGCUGAUCCUUAGCAAGACGGGCGUGGGCAGUGAGUUGGGCAAAGAGAGAAAGAUGAUAGCCCAUUUCAGCAACCUGACCCCUUAGGCAGUCCUUAACCCAAACUUUG
Molecule: long non-coding RNA, 702 nt
Filed under: Theobroma cacao (cacao)
Lineage: Eukaryota; Viridiplantae; Streptophyta; Magnoliopsida; Malvales; Malvaceae
Description: long non-coding RNA (TCAC_LNC004021)
Source: RNAcentral